This 31-nucleotide transfer RNA is filed under the name Magnolia henryi. RNAcentral's name for it is "partial tRNA-His". Lineage: Eukaryota; Viridiplantae; Streptophyta; Magnoliopsida; Magnoliales; Magnoliaceae. The record is from RNAcentral. RNAcentral also lists the same sequence under 21 other names.
GGCGGAUGUAGCCAAGUGGCUCAAGGCAGUG